This 502-nucleotide ribosomal RNA is filed under the name uncultured bacterium. Its description in RNAcentral is "partial 16S ribosomal RNA". It matches the Rfam family "Bacterial small subunit ribosomal RNA", at positions 28 to 507 of the family's 1533-position model. The record is from RNAcentral.
GACGAACGCUGGCGGCGUGCUUAACACAUGCAAGUCGAACGGUGAAGGGGUCUGCUUUUGUGGGCCCUGGAUGAGUGGCGAACGGGUGAGUAACACGUGAGUAACCUGUCCCCUUCUUCUGGAUAACCGCAUGAAAGUGUGGCUAAUACGGGAUAUUCUGGGUCUGUCGCAUGAUGGGUCUGGGAAAGAUUGCGCCUUUGGGUGUUUUUGGUGGGGGAUGGGCUCGCGGCCUAUCAGCUUGUUGGGGGGGUGAUGGCCUACCAAGGCGGUGACGGGUAGCCGGCCUGGGGGGGUGGACGGUCACACUGGGACUGAGACACGGCCCAGACUCCUACGGGAGGCAGCAGUGGGGAAUAUUGCACAAUGGGCGCAAGCCUGAUGCAGCGACGCCGCGUGAGGGAUGGAGGCCUUCGGGGUGUAAACCUCUUUCGCCAGUGAAGCAGGCCUGCUCCGUGUGGGUGGGUUGACGGUAGCUGGAUAAGAAGCGCCGGCUAACUACGUG